Molecule: ribosomal RNA, 1960 nt
Filed under: human gut metagenome
Description: bacterial LSU rRNA
Rfam family: Bacterial large subunit ribosomal RNA
Source: RNAcentral
UCAAGCUACUAAGGGCAUACGGUGGAUGCCUUGGCACUAAGAGCCGAUGAAGGACGCGGUAAGCUGCGAAAAGCCACGGGGAACUGCAAGCAAGUCUUGAUCCGUGGAUGUCCGAAUGGGGAAACCCACCAUCCGUCAUGGGAUGGUAUCCUACGGGAGGGGAACCCGGUGAACUGAAACAUCUAAGUAGCCGGAGGAAGAGAAAUCAAACGAGAUGCCCACAGUAGCGGCGAGCGAAGAGGGCAGAGCCUAAACCAGUCAUCUUCGGAUGGUUGGGGUUACGGACCUGCAUCAACCGAGUCCUACCUAGUCGAAUUACCUGGAAAGGUAAGCCAGAGAGCGUAAGAGCCGCGUAGGUGAAAGGAAGGACGAGGGGGCAGGGAUCCAGAGUACCACGAAGCACGAGGAAUUUUGUGGGAAGUCGGGGGGACCACCCUCCAAGGCUAAACACUUCUUAGUGACCGAUAGCGCAUAGUACCGUGAGGGAAAGGUGAAAAGAACCGCGGGAGCGGAGUGAAAGAGAACCUGAAACCGUAUGUCUACAAGCAGUCGGAGCGCAAGCGACGGCGUGCCUAUUGAAGAAUGAGCCAACGAGUUACGGGCACCAGCGAGGUUAAGCAGGAAAUGCGGAGCCGGAGCGAAAGCGAGUCUAAACAGGGCGAAUAGUUGGUGUUCGUAGACCCGAAACUGUAGUGAUCUACCCAUGAUCAGGUUGAAGCGCAGGUAAAAAUGCGUGGAGGACCGAACCGGUGAGCGUUGAAAAGCUUUCGGAUGAAUCGUGGGUAGCGGUGAAAUUCCAAUCGAACGCAGAGAUAGCUGGUUCUCCUCGAAAUAGCUUUAGGGCUAGCCUCAAGCAGUAAGCAUAGGCGGUAGAGCACUGAUCGGGAUAGGGUCCGUAAAGGAUACCGAACCCUGUCAAACUACGAAUGGUUAUGCUGCAGAGCUUGGGAGUCAGACUACGAGAGAUAAGUCCCGUUGUCAAAAGGGAAACAGCCCAGACCGUCAGCUAAGGUCCCCAAUGCCAUACUAAGUGGAAAAGGAUGUGGGGUCUCAUAAACAACCAGGAUGUUGGCUCAGAAGCAGCCACCAUUUAAAGAGUGCGUAAUAGCUCACUGGUCGAGAGGCCCUGCGCCGAAGAUUCCCGGGGCUAAAGUAUGGAACCGAAGCUACGGAUGCGGUACUUGUACCGCGUGGUAGAGGAGCGUUCCCAUUGGGUUGAAGUCGUCCUGGAAAGGACGGUGGACUGGUGGGAAGUGAGAAUGUUGGCAUGAGUAGCGAAAAGAUAGGUGAGAAUCCUAUCCACCGAAAGCAUAAGGAUUCCUGAGCAACGAUCGUCGUCUCAGGGUAAGUCGGGACCUAAUCCGAGGCAUGGAGCGUAGGAGAUGGACAACUGGUUGAUAUUCCAGUACCGGCAGCAAUCGUUUGAACGAUGGAGUGACGCAGGAAGGCAGGUCCGCGCGAGAAUGGUAGAUCGCGUACAAGCGUGCAGGCUGGUGCACAGGCAAAUCCGUGUACUGAGGCUGAGGCGUGAUGUGGAGGGAACUUGUUCCCGAAGGGAUUGAGCCUACGCUGCCGAGAAAAGCUUCUAGUGAGAAAGCUGCCGCCCGUACCGUAAACCGACACAGGUAUGCGGGGAGAGAAUCCUAAGGUGCGCGGGAGAACCCUCGUUAAGGAACUCGGCAAAAUGUACCCGUAACUUCGGGAUAAGGGUAGCCACAGUGGUGAAGGGACUUGCUCCUGGAGCCUAGUGUGGUCGCAGAGAAGAGGCCCAAGCGACUGUUAACCAGAAACACAGGUGCCUGCGAAAGAGAAAUCUGAUGUAUAGGUGCUGACACCUGCCCAGUGCUGGAAGGUUAAAGAAGGAUGUCCGGGUUCGACCCAAAGCAUUUGACUGAAGCCCCAGUGAACGGCGGCCGUAACUAUAACGGUCCUAAGGUAGCGAAAUUCCUUGUCAGGUAAG